UACAGAGGGUGCAAGCGUUGUUCGGAAUUAUUGGGCGUAAAGCGCGUGUAGGCGGCUUUGCAAGUCGGGUGUGAAAGCCCUCGGCUCAACCGAGGAAGUGCGCCCCGAAACUGCAGAGCUUGAGUACCGGAGAGGAUGGCGGAAUUCCCCAAGUAGAGGUGAAAUUCGUAGAUAUGGGGAGGAACACCGGUGGCGAAGGCGGCCAUCUGGACGGAUACUGACGCUGAGACGCGAAAGCGUGGGGAGCAAACAGG
Molecule: ribosomal RNA, 254 nt
Filed under: uncultured bacterium
Lineage: Bacteria
Description: partial 16S ribosomal RNA
Rfam family: Bacterial small subunit ribosomal RNA
Source: RNAcentral